AGAAUUGUUAACUAGGUAUAACAAUAUAAAGAAGAGGAUUAAGGCAAGAAGAGAAUACUAAGGUAUCAAGGAGGUAGGAAUUACAAAAAAAGCCGCCCUCUCCGGGGCUGGGGGAACAAGUGAAGAGGUUGAAAUUAUUAAAAUUUAGAAGAAACUUAGAGGAGGGAACUUACAGCAUUGAAACUCAGACCCCUGAGGAGCGGAAUUUUGUUCAGCUGGUGCUGUAAGCUUGGAGGAGCAUCCCCAUGUGGCUGGGACCAGACCUCCGAGGAGGGAGCACUGAUUGGUUAGUGGUGGUUCUCUGAAUGUGGAACACUCAGGCUGACUCUUUAAAUGUUGGAAAAACUGCACACUGGAUUUAGCUACUGCAAAGUUUAAGCAAGGAUGCUGUAGGUGUAAAAAGUUGUCAGGGGUAAUUUUGACCGGAAGGGGAGGCAGAGAGGGAGGAGCAAGUCCCUUUUUCCUCUUUCAGCCUUUCUCUCCCCUUCAAGUACCCCUUAUUGCCAGAGGCUAACCAGGUGCCAGAUGGUGAAUUGGAAAUACUGUGUGCAAUUUCAGCACCAGAAUCGCAGAGUUUACAAGGAUGGGAUUGGAGUGGAAAGACGACCCAAAGUGGCAGGGCAACUGUGAUGAAAUGCGAAGUCUGAACAUCUUUUCUAGCCAUCUUCCUAGUCUCCUCUUUUGCUAACACUUCCUGAGGACUUAUCCUGUGCCAGAACGUGUACUGAGUAGGUGCUUUGUAUUUGUCAUCACAUCUAAUCCUCACAAGAACCCCAUGAGGCUACAAUGAGGAGUUGCUCCAGCAGCUACAGCUGUAGGAAGAUUAGCCCUGAACUAACAUCUGCCACCAAUCCUCCUCUUCAUUGCCAAGGAAGACUGGCGCUAUCUUGACCGAACCCCAGGCUGCUGAAGUGGAAUAUGCUAACUGAACUGCUGUGCCACCGGGCCAGCCCCUUCCUUCUGUUUUUUGAAUGUUCUUGGACACCUAUUCUUUCUAAGCAAUAGAAAUUGCCAUGAAUACCUAAAAUCUCUCCACAUUGCUCUUCAAAUAUGACUACUCAUUGGUGCUCUCUAGAGAAGAUAAGAGAAACAUCUCUUUUUCAUCCUCAUCCCAACUCAAGUCUGAGCUAAGUCAUAUCCUGAACUCAAGGAGACCUCAUUGCUUUAACCUCAGGCCUCUCCACAGAGUUUCUCCUCUAAAACACAGAGAAAACUGCAAGCCCCUUCAUCAAGGAAAAGUCUUUUAUAGACUUCUCUGGUAAAGUCAGUCCUGGAGCCAUGUGACUAGAUGCUCUGACCUGUUUUUCUGCAACCACACAAACAACCACAUCCUAACUUGCAUGAGAUAGAGGCUCAAAAAUUGCUUUUCUUAUUAGAGAUGACUCCAGGUUUUAGCUACUCUUUGCACAUCUUGUGUACUACUUGUUCCCUAGGUUCCACUAGCCUUAGUGACGAGUGUGGGGAAAGUGGCAAUUAUCAAGUUUCUUGACACUGAAUCACCCUCCAAUCAUGUUCCUGGGUCAUUAUACCUUCCAGGUCCUUCUAUUUUCCUUAUGAAUUCUGAAUGACUCAAGUAGUUUCCUCUGUGACUUUUGCUGCCUUCUUUGUUGUGACAACCACUGUAUCUGAGAAAAAUGCUCAAAGCAAGUUGUCAGAAAUCCCAUCUCUAUUUUAAAUGAUGUUAAAAUGAAACUCUUCUUUCUUCCAUUUUGAAUGAGCCAUCAAUAUGAGAAAUAUUAGAUAAUAAAAAGGGCAUGACACAGAUCCUCUCAUAAGAAGAAUUUACAAAGGAAAUGGUUAAGAACCGUUUUUCCCAGCUCAAUGACUCUUGUGUCCCUUGGCCAGAACAAGGUGUGCAGAGUAGACAGAAUGUGGAAUAGGGAAGAACUUCUCCGAAGAAGAGCCGUGGCUUUGCUGUUGUUGCUUUGAGAGAGUAGUGGGUCAUGUUCCUGGUACCUUGAGAGGAUUGUUUUGGUCUUUCUGUUUCCUUUACCUCAAGCCUAGUGAGGGGGCUUCCAUGGAAUCGCUCAGAAAGCUUCAAAUAUGCUCCUUGCUAUUGGGAGACUUGAGAAAGACUGAUGUCACUGUAGAAACAGCAAAGUAUUGGUGCAUUAAGUUCAUCCUGGACUCCUAGAAUUUAUGGGGACAAGGGAUGCAUGAGUGUUUAUUUUGGAUGAGGUAUAGGCCGUGUAGAAGACAGAGCUGAUGUGGUCAUCUUGGGUUUUAUCCAAAAGAGCCAUCUCAGGGCGAAGAGGCUCCCUAAAGUAAGAAACUAGAAUGAAACACUAGACUUAGGAGCCAUGGAAGAAUUUGCAAAUGAUCACCAAAAAUAAAUGAUACCUCUAACUCAGUGAGAGUUGGAGGGGAAGUAGGAUAUCAACCUAAGAUAGAAGAAAGCUGAAGGAUGUGAGCUAUGGUUUACAACCCAGGCUGAUUAUUGUUAGAAAGAAUCUAUAAUAAGAUGAAACAGACCUAUUAGAAUAUCAACACCAAAAAAGCAAGCACCAUGACUGUUUCACUCAAUAUUGUAUUUUCAGCUUGCGUAGUGCCUAGCAUC
RNAcentral lists this long non-coding RNA (2557 nucleotides) under Equus asinus (donkey). RNAcentral describes it as "lncRNA (ENSEASG00005033323.1)". Lineage: Eukaryota; Metazoa; Chordata; Mammalia; Perissodactyla; Equidae. The record is from RNAcentral.